GACGAACGCUGGCGGCGUGCUUAACACAUGCAAGUCGAGCGGUAAGGCCCUUUCGGGGGUACACGAGCGGCGAACGGGUGAGUAACACGUGGGUGACCUGCCCUCAGCUCUGGGAUAAGCCUGGGAAACCGGGUCUAAUACUGGAUAUGACUCCAUGACGCAUGUUGUGGGGUGGAAAGCCUUGUGCGGCUGAGGAUGGGCCCGCGGCCUAUCAGCUUGUUGGUGGGGUGGAUGGCCUACCAAGGCGACGACGGGUAGCCGGCCUGAGAGGGCGACCGGCCGACACUGGGACUGAGACACGGCCCAGACUCCUACGGGAGGCAGCAGUGGGGAAUCUUGCGCAAUGGGCGAAAGCCUGACGCAGCGACGCCGCGUGAGGGAUGACGGCCU
This 390-nucleotide ribosomal RNA is filed under the name uncultured bacterium. RNAcentral's name for it is "bacterial SSU rRNA". It matches the Rfam family "Bacterial small subunit ribosomal RNA", at positions 28 to 417 of the family's 1533-position model. The record is from RNAcentral.